GUCCACGCCGUAAACGAUGAUUGCUAGUUGUCGGGAUGCAUGCAUCUCGGUGACGCAGCUAACGCAUUAAGCAAUCCGCCUGGGGAGUACGGUCGCAAGAUUAAAACUCAAAGGAAUUGACGGGGCCCGCACAAGCGGUGGAGCAUGUGGUUUAAUUCGAAGCAACGCGCAGAACCUUACCACCUUUUGACAUGCCUGGACCGCCACGGAGACGUGGCUUUCCCUUCGGGGACUAGGACACAGGUGCUGCAUGGCUGUCGU
This 261-nucleotide ribosomal RNA is filed under the name uncultured bacterium. Its description in RNAcentral is "partial 16S ribosomal RNA". It matches the Rfam family "Bacterial small subunit ribosomal RNA", at positions 793 to 1055 of the family's 1533-position model. The record is from RNAcentral.